RNAcentral lists this long non-coding RNA (297 nucleotides) under Setaria viridis. Its description in RNAcentral is "long non-coding RNA (SVIR_LNC010605)". Lineage: Eukaryota; Viridiplantae; Streptophyta; Magnoliopsida; Poales; Poaceae. The record is from RNAcentral.
AAACUCUCAUAGGGGUUUUGCAUUCGCUAAGCUUCGAGCUUCUGAUAUUUCUAGUUUGUCAUCUUUCAUGCACCGGGUAGGUUCCUCCUUUAUGUGUGCUGGUUCUUCUUCUUUUUGCACCACAUGUUCUUCUGUCUCAUCCUUCUAGAGUUCUUUUCUAAAAAAUUCCAGCAAGUAUAUGUACUUGAUUUCCUUGCUCUCGUGCACCCGAUUGAUAGUUAUCUCAUUCUCUGUUUACGGCUACUCCUCUGUUGAUUUUUUGUUGAAGUUGUGCAGCCUCCCUGAGUGUCUUUUCCA